This 168-nucleotide ribosomal RNA is filed under the name uncultured rumen bacterium. Its description in RNAcentral is "partial 16S ribosomal RNA". It matches the Rfam family "Bacterial small subunit ribosomal RNA", at positions 340 to 524 of the family's 1533-position model. The record is from RNAcentral.
UACGGGAGGCAGCAGUGGGGGAUAUUGCGCAAUGGGGGCAACCCUGACGCAGCAACGCCGCGUGAAGGAUGAAGGUUUUCGGAUUGUAAACUUCUUUUAUCAGGGACGAAGAUUGACGGUACCUGAUGAAUAAGCUCCGGCUAACUACGUGCCAGCAGCCGCGGUAAU